GUCGACGGGAAGACAUGAAGAGCUUGCUCUUUAUGAAAUCCAGUGGCAAACGGGUGAGUAACACGUAAACAACCUGCCUUCAGGAUGGGGACAACAGACGGAAACGACUGCUAAUACCGAAUACGAUUCUUGAGUCGCAUGACACAAGAAAGAAAGGGUGGCCUCUACUUGUAAGCUAUCGCCUGGAGAGGGGUUUGCGUCCGAUUAGGUAGUUGGUGAGGUAACGGCCCACCAAGCCGACGAUCGGUAGCCGGUCUGAGAGGAUGAACGGCCACAUUGGAACUGAGACACGGUCCAGACUCCUACGGGAGGCAGCAGUGGGGAAUCUUCCGCAAUGGGCGAAAGCCUGACGGAGCAACGCCGCGUGAGUGAAGACGGCCUUCGGGUUGUAAAACUCUGUGAUUCGGGACGAAAGAUAAGUAGACGAAUAAUCUGCAUAAGUGACGGUACCGAAAAAGCAAGCCACGGCUAACUACGUGCCAGCAGCCGCGGUAAUACGUAGGUGGCAAGCGUUGUCCGGAAUUAUUGGGCGUAAAGCGCGCGCAGGCGGCUACUUAAGUCCAUCUUAAAAGUGCGGGGCUUAACCCCGUGAUGGGAUGGAAACUGAGAAGCUGGAGUGUCGGAGAGGAAAGUGGAAUUCCUAGUGUAGCGGUGAAAUGCGUAGAGAUUAGGAAGAACACCGGUGGCGAAGGCGACUUUCUGGACGACAACUGACGCUUAGACGCGAAAGCGUGGG
This 736-nucleotide ribosomal RNA is filed under the name uncultured bacterium. Its description in RNAcentral is "bacterial SSU rRNA". It matches the Rfam family "Bacterial small subunit ribosomal RNA", at positions 61 to 765 of the family's 1533-position model. The record is from RNAcentral.